AACCAAACCUGUUUUUAUGGUGGGUUAACUGUGGUUGGACCUGUGAAGGGCCUUGGACACUAAAUAAGGAUGAGAACCCAGGAAUGAGCACUGGUUAUCAAUAAAGACUACAUUCUUUUCAACAUGUGAAUGACCAAUGGAUGCAAAUGGAAGCGACGUAUAACUUCCAGGAAAUACCCUUAAAGAGAAAGAACAUGCCUUGUUUCAUCCCUUUCACUCUCCUGCUGACUAGAAGAGUCACCACCCAGAACAAGACCCUCACCAGAUGUGUUCCCCGGACUUCAGAUUUCCCAGCCUCCAAAACUGUAAGC
This is a long non-coding RNA of Cynocephalus volans (Philippine flying lemur), 311 nucleotides long. RefSeq lists it as uncharacterized. The record is from RefSeq and is a predicted model, not a curated record. Lineage: Eukaryota; Metazoa; Chordata; Mammalia; Dermoptera; Cynocephalidae. The transcript has 3 exons.